ACUGGUGGCUGCAUCUGCACAACUGAGACAUUCUGGAUCUUGUUGAGACUCAGCCAGAGGAAGACGCCUGGGAGCCGGCCCUUCUGCCCGAGCCCUCCUCUUCUUGCUGACUUGACUCUGUUCUCAUGUUUCAAGAUUUCCAUAGGCUGACCUGUCUCCUGGGGUCCUGCAGCUUCUGGGCAGAGAAGGAGGCAGUGGGCCAUCCAGCCUUCCUCUCCCAUUUGUUUGGAGGAGGGCCUGCCUUUGUGAAUUCUCUCCCAUCCACAUGACAAUGCUUCCAGCCUUCGCCCCCAGGAUCAUUGUGAGAACUAAAAGGAAGUGAAUUCAUCCCAAGCAAUUGGGAAGGUGCCUGGUGCAAAGUGGGAAGUCAUCAACCACAAUCGCUAAUAAGUAGGUGAGGUCACACCUCCUUCCAGCCUGACGGAAACAAGGAGCUGAAGGGAAAUCUCUGAGACCCCGCUGCUGCUAUCAUGAGCUCAGAAAACCUCGGAGACUGCUUAUGUAGGCAGCUGCCUCUUUUCUGGCCAGUUCCUACAUGUGACCCAGAAUUGAGGGUGGUUCCUCCAGGCAGAGUUAACCUACAGAGGAAUCAAGAACCAAGAAGAGGAGAGAUAAGCAUCCUGGAGCCCCCUAGAGGGGCCAUGUGGAGUUCCCCCAACAGGGGUGUGUCCACAGAGCCUCUUCCCCAGCCCUCUCCUUGGGAAGCCACUUGCUAGGUACUCACUUCCUCCCCCACUGCCCUCUAGCAAGUGACUCAGAAGUGAGGCCAGGACAGCCCAUGGGG
Molecule: long non-coding RNA, 784 nt
Organism: Dama dama (fallow deer)
Lineage: Eukaryota; Metazoa; Chordata; Mammalia; Artiodactyla; Cervidae
Exons: 4
Source: RefSeq, a predicted model, not a curated record